RNAcentral lists this ribosomal RNA (579 nucleotides) under uncultured Dechloromonas sp. RNAcentral's name for it is "bacterial SSU rRNA". It matches the Rfam family "Bacterial small subunit ribosomal RNA", at positions 73 to 649 of the family's 1533-position model. The record is from RNAcentral. Lineage: Bacteria; Pseudomonadati; Pseudomonadota; Betaproteobacteria; Rhodocyclales; Azonexaceae.
GGGGACUUCGGUCCGCCGGCGAGUGGCGAACGGGUGAGUAAAGUAUCGGAACGUACCUUUCAGUGGGGGAUAACGUAGCGAAAGUUACGCUAAUACCGCAUAUUCUGUGAGCAGGAAAGCAGGGGAUCGCAAGACCUUGCGCUGAUUGAGCGGCCGAUAUCAGAUUAGCUAGUUGGUGGGGUAAAGGCCUACCAAGGCGACGAUCUGUAGCGGGUCUGAGAGGAUGAUCCGCCACACUGGAACUGAGACACGGUCCAGACUCCUACGGGAGGCAGCAGUGGGGAAUUUUGGACAAUGGGGGCAACCCUGAUCCAGCCAUGCCGCGUGAGUGAAGAAGGCCUUCGGGUUGUAAAGCUCUUUCGGCCGGGAAGAAAUCGCACAGGCUAAUACCCUGUGUGGAUGACGGUACCGGAAUAAGAAGCACCGGCUAACUACGUGCCAGCAGCCGCGGUAAUACGUAGGGUGCGAGCGUUAAUCGGAAUUACUGGGCGUAAGCGUGCGCAGGCGGUUUCGUAAGACAGAGGUGAAAUCCCCGGGCUCAACCUGGGAACUGCCUUUGUGACUGCGAGGCUAGAGUAC